GCGGGCGGCGCUCGGCGGGACGUGAGCCGGCAGGGCGGGAGGGGCCGCCGCUCUGCGUGGCGCUGCCGGGCCGCCCCGUAGCCCUGCGCUGCUCUGCGAGGACGGCCGGGUGUCACAGUGCGGGACGCGGCCUCAGCGGCGCUCUGCGGCUGGGCUCGGUGCUGUGGCCGCUCUGUGCAGCCUUACUGGCGCUCCGUGAUCCCGGCCUCGCGGCUCCCACCCGCACGCGCAGCCCGAGUCUUCCCCAGGCCGAGCAGCUCCAGGUCAUGCAGCCUUCCCCCACAGGGAGAUGCUCCAGGCCUUCUCAGCUCUGUUAUCAGGUUGCCAUGGGAGAUAACACCAAAAGCCUUGCUGACAUUGAGGCAGACGACAUCCACUGCUCCCCCCGCACCUACCCGGCUGGUGAUGCCAUCAUAGAAGGCUACGAGGCACAGAGGUGAGGCUGACUGCCUGCGGUUUCCUGGAUCCUCCUUCCUACCCUUUCUGCAGAUCUGCAUACUGCUCCCACCCAGCAGCUCCAGGACCCCCCCCUCACCCAGAGGGCAGCUCUCCAUUCCUGGACUCUCCCUGUUCCCCCCGGGGUCCCAAGAGGGCGGUCUUGGAAGUGAGAACUGUACCAAAGAAGGCACUCAGCAUCUCCACCUCCUCAGCACACCUCCCCUUGUUCCACAGGGUACCUUCUUACUUCCUCAUCAACACAGCAAUUGGGGUUUUGUGAGUGGAACAAAUGUGCAACAGCCCCGAGCUGCGAGGAGGAGUCAGGAGAGAGAUUCCGUGCAGUGCUGCAGCAUGGUGCAUCCGCAGGGCACUGCCCACAGCACCGUGCACUGCCUGCAGCACCGUGCACUGCCUGCAGCACUGAGCACUACCCGCAGCACCAUGCAUUCCCUGCAGCACCGUUCUCUACCUGCAGCACUGCGCAUGGCUCUCCCUGCAGUGCCCGCAGCGCCAUGAACUGUGUCCUGCUCUGCGUGCACUGUGUGCCACCUAUGCCGUGCACCGCCUGCAGUGCUAUGCAUGGCCCGCACGCCGUGCUGCCUGCAGCUGCUUGCACCGCCCAGGGGAGAUUGCAGAGGGCAGAGCGCUGCUCAUUGUGCUCCUGUCCCCACUGCCGGCAUGCAGCCGCGCUGGAGCGGAGCUGCUCUGGAAGAACCAAAGGACAGUUCCCCCCCACCCCCGCCCUGUGCUCGGAGCUCAUCUCCCCGCUGCCGAUCAGCACAUUCAGUGCUUAAAAGGAAACGAGUCCGCUGUGCUGAUGGGAGAGCCCGGGAGGCGCCGUGCGACCCUGCUUGGCAGCUCCGGGAAGGGCACCGUGUCAGAGCUCCCCGUGCACAAUGCACAGCGCAGCGUGUACAAUGCACGAUGCAGGACGCAGGGAGAGCGGAGUGCCAUCUCUGUUGGGGACGGCCCCGUUUCCGUGGCAACCGAGAGGCUCCGGCGGCGGCCGCGUGGCCCCGGCAGAGGGCACUGCGCGUUGUGCAGUGGAGGAGCCAGCCCCGUGCCGGGCAGCACUCCAUGUUCCCGGCCUGCUGCGGCGCUCAGAGCACUGGCACAGCGCUCUGCUGGAGUUACUCAUCGCUCCCAUCAGCAGCCCUCACCCAGCGCCCAUCUGCGGCUGCAGGACAGCGCCGUUCAUCAGCGGCGUGAGUCGGAGCUGGAGUGUGUGCAGCGGGGCCUCAGCUGUGUGCCCGUUGCCGUGCAUCCCUCGCCGUGCUGCGUGUGCUGCAGGAUGGGGCUGCACACGAGCGUGCAAAGUGCUGGGUGCGUGGAAAUGGCUGGAAAAGUGCUCCCUACUCCUGCUUCAAUCAGAGGAACGGAGCAGCUGUUGGAGUGAAUGGGCCCUGCACUAAAGCAGACGUCUUAAUAUCUUUUGCAGAGGAGGUGCAUUGUGAUUCACUCUGUGCAUCUCUAUUACUCAGCGUUUGAUAGGGGCUUACUUGUCUCAAGUGCUUUUCAUUAUUGCCCUAAUGCUAUCUAUUAACAUAUGGGAUGGAGGCUCUUUUCUCAUCUGGAGCGUGCAUCACUCCGCUUUUAAGGAUGAUGGGGCUUGCAAGUACAUAACACUUUGCUGCCUCCCUGACGGAGCUCACCAGGAGGAGGGAGGGGGUGCGUGGGGUUGGACGGCCGCAGGGCUGCGAGGACACAGUGGUGUGAGCAGAGCCACAGCCAUGCACUGCUCCACUGCCACAGCCCUGCACGGCAGCUGGGUCAGUUAGCUGCUUUAACUGCCCAGGGGGUGUUUGCAGGUGCAGGCUCUCUGGGCAGACUUUGCGGGGGAAGAUUACAGGUGUGGUUUUCUGGGUGGGUGCUGUGUGAUGGGCAGAGCUGUGCUGGGGCGGUCCCACGCGCUGCUCUUACUCUGCACAUGGCUGCAACUCAGAGCUGAACCUUCUGCUGGACAGGAGCAGAAGGAGCUGCAGCCUGGUGAGAGAGCACAUCUCUUCCCUCGGCUCAGGAUGAGUUCUGCCUUGCAUUUUGGUGAGCUAUGGCAAGAAACACAAUAGCACAGGAGCAAAAAUCACUGCACCUCAGGCUCAGAGCGGUUGGAAGGGACCUGUGGGGCUCCCCCAGCCCGGCCCCAUCCUGCAGGACCCGCAUGUCCCAGCAGCCAGGUUGGGAUGGGGGGAUUCAGAGCACCUGGAAACCCCAGCGUGGCACAGUCGUGCAGCAGCCGCCUCCGAGCAGCUUGAUGGAUGGCGGGCCGGUCCCACCCGCAGCCAGAUGACAGCUCCUCGCAUCAGCCGCUGUGAUAAAUAGCAAUUACAGACAGGAGCACUGCCACUCACAUUUGCCUAAGUGAGGAGCAGAAUCAUACAUCUCCGCUGAUUACAUAUCAAUGAUGCGCUGGAGGCCUUCGCAACUUUUAGAUCCGCUUAAGAUAUGCCGCCCUGAUUUAGACGGCGAUUUGCAUACAAUUUACCCAUAAAGCCUUACUUUGAAAAGCAUAA
Gallus gallus (chicken) is the source of this 2948-nucleotide RNA transcript. RefSeq lists it as uncharacterized. Lineage: Eukaryota; Metazoa; Chordata; Aves; Galliformes; Phasianidae. The transcript is spliced from 4 exons. The record is from RefSeq and is a predicted model, not a curated record.